UACUCUUAUUUACAUGUAAUUUAGGAGACAGAUUGUGAUUAAUAAAAAUUCAGUAUAGAAUUUUUUCUAUUUUUUUUGCUCUUGUGUAUAGAGUGUUUUUCUAUUUAUCGAGGUGGCGAUUAUAGUGAUUCUUACGACGGUGAUCGGGGAACUAGAGCCCUUGAUUAGGAUCAAAAUGUUGUGGUGAUGGGAGUAACGUCUAAAGCAACAUGUGGAUAUCAUAUUUGGGCAUGUAGAGAGACGCUUUGAAGAAAUUGUAGAUCGUCUUAAUGCAUUGAGAAUUAAUACAAAUAGGAAUUGGGUUGACAAUUGAAGGCUAAGAGGUGGUAUAGUUCGUGAUGACCCUAUUUAUCAAUCAAUUCUUACUUGUAGACAAUAUGACUAUGAUGAAAAUUUGUAGGAGGAAGAUGACCAUGAGCCAUAUAGGUUUUGUAGACAUCUAUGUAAUGGAAGAUAUAGAAGAAGAGGUGUGUAUUGACCAAUUCUUGGGCGGCAAUAGUAUGUCUACAAAGAUUCAGAGGAGGAUGAGGACUUUGAGCCAAUCAUGUUCAAUAGGCAUCAAUGGAAUGGUGGCUAUAGGCAAAGUGGCGUACAUGAAAAUAAUGAGAAGGGUUUUCAACCAAAACUAAAAUUCUCUCUUAAAUUGUAGCUGAAUGCGAGGACGCCUAACCCAAGCAUCUAUUAAGGGAAAGGGACGAAGGAGAAGAGCAACUUGAAUCUGAAACUCAACUUGAAGUUGAGGACACCAAUGCCAAAGACUCGGAACUAGAAGCUUUGAGCGUAUUUGCCUUGGCCAUGAUUG
This 802-nucleotide unclassified non-coding RNA is filed under the name Hevea brasiliensis (rubber tree). The record is from RNAcentral. Lineage: Eukaryota; Viridiplantae; Streptophyta; Magnoliopsida; Malpighiales; Euphorbiaceae.